This is an RNA transcript of Salvia miltiorrhiza (redroot sage), 913 nucleotides long. It is a transcript of the gene named probable U3 small nucleolar RNA-associated protein 11, with no coding region annotated. The record is from RefSeq and is a predicted model, not a curated record. Lineage: Eukaryota; Viridiplantae; Streptophyta; Magnoliopsida; Lamiales; Lamiaceae. The transcript has 2 exons.
AUGCCUAAUUCCCCAAUCCCAUUCCCUGGAAUCCCUGCCCUCCCGUCUCUGAACACCGGCGCUCCCUCGGCGCCGGCCCUGCAUCGAUCUACCCCAUUCAAUAUUUCUCUCUCUUCAAGCAUCUCAAACCAUUUCCGACCAUGGAGGUGUUGAAAGCUUAAUACUGCACUUUCCAACCACGAUUCGCUUCGCUGGGCUCCCCCGCGAUCUACCACCUCGCUUUCCCCCUCCCCCACCGCGAUGCGCCGGCCCUGCAUCGAUCUACCCAUCCCAUCUCCACCACAACUCUCCAUUCCCCGUCGAACUUCGCGGUCACCAAAUUGGAUGACUUCGCGGCCGAGGACGACGACAAGAAGCGCCGAGAUCAUCGCCGGAGAUAAUUCCGAUUCGAUCCAAUCUAUUAUAUCUAUUAUGAAAAUCGAAAUCAAAUUUUCGGCGAAAUGAGGUUUUCUCCUCCAUGAUAGGACUGAAGCAAUAGAAAUUCGAGCUCAGGCUUCUGAACACAGAGAAAACCACUCUUUUGAAGACUUUCCCAAAGAUAUUAAAAGGAAGAUAAUUGCUUCAUACCGUGAGCUAGAGGCUAGAAGAAGCCGAGUUAAAGAGCUAGAGAAGAUAUACAUGGAUAUGGCAAUGCAGAAAGAACUGCAGAAAAAGGGUCGAAAACGAAAGCUUCUUGAAGAUGAAAUUGUUUAUCCAACGGCAGGACCUGUAUUCAAAUGGACAGGAAAUAAAACGCCGAGGGAGAGAGAGAGGGAGAGGGAGUGAGGUGUGCAGCGCAAAUUAAUGUGCUAAUUCAAGAACAUAUUCUCUCCUUUAUUAGCUAGAUCUCUAAAAUUUGGAGCGUGAAUUCAAACAUACAUAAAUUGAUUUUUGUAUCCGUGUGUUUUGUUAUUCUUCUAAUGCUUACACACAA